AUCGCUUCUCGGUCUUUUGGCUAAGAUCAAGUGCAGCAUCUGUUCUUAUCAGUUUAAUAUGUGAUACGUUCUCUAUCUGAGGACAACAUAGUAAAUGUAUUUUGCAAGUAGGAGUUGGCCUAGGAGCUUGCUUCCAUCCGCUCCACGCAUCAACCUGGUAUUGUGGUACCUUUAGGAAUGGGGCAGCCUCU
Molecule: small nuclear RNA, 191 nt
Organism: Echinops telfairi (small Madagascar hedgehog)
Lineage: Eukaryota; Metazoa; Chordata; Mammalia; Afrosoricida; Tenrecidae
Gene: U2
Rfam family: U2 spliceosomal RNA
About the family: U2 is a small nuclear RNA (snRNA) component of the spliceosome (involved in pre-mRNA splicing). Complementary binding between U2 snRNA (in an area lying towards the 5' end but 3' to hairpin I) and the branchpoint sequence (BPS) of the intron results the bulging out of an unpaired adenosine, on the BPS, which initiates a nucleophilic attack at the intronic 5' splice site, thus starting the first of two transesterification reactions that mediate splicing.
Source: Ensembl